This 245-nucleotide ribosomal RNA is filed under the name uncultured bacterium. Its description in RNAcentral is "partial 16S ribosomal RNA". It matches the Rfam family "Bacterial small subunit ribosomal RNA", at positions 524 to 768 of the family's 1533-position model. The record is from RNAcentral.
UACGAAGGGGGCUAGCGUUGUUCGGAAUCACUGGGCGUAAAGCGCACGUAGGCGGACUUUCAAGUCAGGGGUGAAAUCCCGGGGCUCAACCUCGGAACUGCCUCUGAUACUGUAGGUCUCGAGCCCGGAAGAGGUGGGUGGAAUUCCUAGUGUAGAGGUGAAAUUCGUAGAUAUUAGGAAGAACACCAGUGGCGAAGGCGGCCCACUGGUCCGGUGCUGACGCUGAGGUGCGAAAGCGUGGGGAG